GCUGUUGAAGCAGAGCAGAAAAUAUAGGAUGUUAGCUUUGAUAUCUAGGAAGCUCUACAGGAAAUACGUUUCGUUACUCUCUAGUCCGGUUAAAUCCCGAAAACGUAGGGUGUGGUCAACUGUAGAAAAUUCUAGAUUUUGGGAAGAUGAAGUAUCAAAGUUUAGUGAUAAAAAGUUCAAAAACACGUUUCGGUUUGACAGAUGUACGUUUAAUUUGUUGGUCAAAAAAUUACAUCGCCUGCAAAGAGAAGAUACUCUUUGGCGGUCUGCUAUUCGGUUGGAGAAACGCAUCGCUAUUGCCCUGUAUGCUUUCGGAUCGUCAGCGGAAUCAUGACAAUACGUGAGACGAGUAGCGAGACGUAGCUUUCUGAAUUAUUUACUUUUUGUUUGGUUGUGUGGUUAUGGUUUCAUAUCAACUCGCUGAGGAAAACAACUGAAGGAAGAAAUGAACAAAUAUAUAUUCGUGAAAAAUAGUGUACUAUAGCUGCAAUAAGAUGCCGUAUUAUUGUGCAGUAAAAGGAUGUGGAAACAAGGUUCUCAUAACGAAAAAUAACCCGGACAUUGUUUACCACACUUUUCUCCGAGAUGGAGAUAAAAAUCAAGGUAUAUGCUCACGUCAUUUCCAUAGCAGCAGCUACGAUGACCGACAUCAAAUGCGCCAUGAACUUAAUGGGCUGUGUGGUAUACGUUGCAAAUCGUGAAUAUUGUCACCGGAUUAAGGGCAUUGUAGUGAUGUAGAACGUUGAACUUUUGACUAGUCUGAAAUCGAUCCACCGCCGCAACAAUAAGAAAUUUCUCACCGUGCAAUUUUUCGAAAUGACUGGUAUACUCAUCGGCAGUGCGGAAAUACUCUCAGCAUACAAAGCAGCAGCGCAAAGAGGGGUCCAAAUUGUGUUUCAGCAUACGUUCCACCGCAGUCACAUAACGAAUUUCCGAUAGAAAUCGAUUCGCCACUACCAUCUCUUUAAUUUCCUUCAAAACUUUGUCGUUUUGUAAAAUUGCAUCCAGCAUACGCAGGAAU
This is a long non-coding RNA of Toxorhynchites rutilus septentrionalis, 1021 nucleotides long. RefSeq lists it as uncharacterized. NCBI's taxonomy places the organism in Eukaryota, Metazoa, Arthropoda, Insecta, Diptera, Culicidae. The record is from RefSeq and is a predicted model, not a curated record. The transcript is spliced from 4 exons.